UCAUCCGGCAACCACCACCCCCACAAUGUCGCUGCCACACUGGAGAUGGAUUGGUGAUGAGCAAUAGAGAAUGGUGAAGGAUAUACAUGUGGUAAUGUUUAAAAAGGAAAUAUUCAUGAUUGAAUGGUGAACCCCAAUAAUCCCUCAAAUCUGGUAACUUUUCAUGUGCCAAAACACAACAAUUGAAUCUAUGUGAUAAUCUUUAAAUAUAUGCUAUUAUUCAUGUGCCAAACAAAACUAAAUCUAAUUUGUUACAGACCAAACUUAAUAAAUGAAGUACAGGUAUCUUUGCACGAUGUACAAGGAAGAACAUUCAAGAACAUUCUUCAUGAAUCUUGAACCCCAAUAACCCCCUCGAUCUUGAUGUUCUAGUGGAUGCAAUAGAUACCUCAAAAUCUCAGCAGAUUCGAAGUAAGAUCUGGUGGAUCUGAUGGUGGUGGGGGUGGUGCGAUGGUUUGAGAAAGAAAGGGUAGGGUAGGUGAUGGGAAUAUAGCAGUGGUUUAGGCGGUGGCGAUGGCGGUGGCAACAUUGUGACGGUGGUCGGUGGUUGCCCGAGUGCCUCGCUGACGCCAGAGAGUUGUUCGGCCUCAGAACCUACCGGUGGUGGUGGUGAGAGAGGAGGGAGACAAUGGUGGUGUUGUAAUGGUUGACAGUGGUGAUAGGAUCCUGUGAUUUAAAUUGAACUAGAAGAGAAGUCAAGGAGAAGAGGAAAGUGAGGUGAAGAGAAAAAGUGU
Molecule: long non-coding RNA, 734 nt
Filed under: Helianthus annuus (common sunflower)
Lineage: Eukaryota; Viridiplantae; Streptophyta; Magnoliopsida; Asterales; Asteraceae
Description: hypothetical non coding rna
Source: RNAcentral